GAUGAACGCUGGCGGCGUGCCUAAUACAUGCAAGUCGAGCGAACAGACGAGGAGCUUGCUCCUUUGACGUUAGCGGCGGACGGGUGAGUAACACGUGGGUAACCUACCUAUAAGACUGGGAUAACUUCGGGAAACCGGAGCUAAUACCGGAUAAUAUUUCGAACUGCAUGGUUCGAUAGUGAAAGAUGGCUUUGCUAUCACUUAUAGAUGGACCUGCGCCGUAUUAGCUAGUUGGUAAGGUAACGGCUUACCAAGGCAACGAUACGUAGCCGACCUGAGAGGGUGGAUCGGCCACACUGGAACUGAGACACGGUCCAGACUCCUACGGGAGGCAGCAGUAGGGAAUCUUCCGCAAUGGGCGAAAGCCUGACGGAGCAACGCCGCGUGAGUGAUGAAGGUCUUCGGAUCGUAAAACUCUGUUAUUAGGG
RNAcentral lists this ribosomal RNA (428 nucleotides) under uncultured bacterium. RNAcentral describes it as "bacterial SSU rRNA". It matches the Rfam family "Bacterial small subunit ribosomal RNA", at positions 28 to 444 of the family's 1533-position model. The record is from RNAcentral.